AAUCCAUAGGUUAAUGAGGCGAACCGGGGGAACUGAAACAUCUAAGUACCCCGAGGAAAAGAAAUCAACCGAGAUUCCCCCAGUAGCGGCGAGCGAACGGGGAGGAGCCCAGAGCCUGAAUCAGCAUGUGUGUUAGUGGAAGCGUCUGGAAAGGCGCGCGAUACAGGGUGACAGCCCCGUACACAAAAGCGCAUGUGCUGUGAGCUCGAUGAGUAGGGCGGGACACGUGGUAUCCUGUCUGAAUAUGGGGGGACCAUCCUCCAAGGCUAAAUACUCCUGACUGACCGAUAGUGAACCAGUACCGUGAGGGAAAGGCGAAAAGAACCCCGGCGAGGGGAGUGAAAAAGAACCUGAAACCGUGUACGUACAAGCAGUGGGAGCACCCUUUGGGUGUGACUGCGUACCUUUUGUAUAAUGGGUCAGCGACUUAUAUUCUGUAGCAAGGUUAACCGAAUAGGGGAGCCGGAGGGAAACCGAGUCUUAACCGGGCGUUAAGUUGCAGGGUAUAGACCCGAAACCCGGUGAUCUAGCCAUGGGCAGGUUGAAGGUUGGGUAACACUAACUGGAGGACCGAACCGACUAAUGUUGAAAAAUUAGCGGAUGACCUGUGGCUGGGGGUGAAAGGCCAAUCAAACCGGGAGAUAGCUGGUUCUCCCCGAAAGCUAUUUAGGUAGCGCCUCGUGAAUUCAUCUCCGGGGGUAGAGCACUGUUUCGGCUAGGGGGCCAUCCCGGCUUACCAACCCGAUGCAAACUGCGAAUACCGGAGAAUGUUAUCACGGGAGACACACGGCGGGUGCUAACGUCCGUCGUGAAGAGGGAAACAACCCAGACCGCCAGCUAAGGUCCCAAAGUCAUGGUUAAGUGGGAAACGAUGUGGGAAGGCCCAGACAGCCAGGAUGUUGGCUUAGAAGCAGCCAUCAUUUAAAGAAAGCGUAAUAGCUCACUGGUCGAGUCGGCCUGCGCGGAAGAUGUAACGGGGCUAAACCAUGCACCGAAGCUGCGGCAGCGACACUGUGUGUUGUUGGGUAGGG
Molecule: ribosomal RNA, 1031 nt
Filed under: Salmonella enterica
Lineage: Bacteria; Pseudomonadati; Pseudomonadota; Gammaproteobacteria; Enterobacterales; Enterobacteriaceae
Also listed under: 1 other name
Description: partial 23S ribosomal RNA
Rfam family: Bacterial large subunit ribosomal RNA
Source: RNAcentral